RNAcentral lists this ribosomal RNA (549 nucleotides) under uncultured bacterium. RNAcentral's name for it is "bacterial SSU rRNA". It matches the Rfam family "Bacterial small subunit ribosomal RNA", at positions 61 to 610 of the family's 1533-position model. The record is from RNAcentral.
GUCGAGCGAAGCAUUUUAAAGGAAGUUUUCGGAUGGAAUUUGAAAUGACUGAGCGGCGGACGGGUGAGUAACGCGUGGGCAACCUGCCUCAUACAGGGGGAUAACAGUUAGAAAUGACUGCUAAUACCGCAUAAGCACACAGUACCGCAUGGUACAGUGUGAAAAACUCCGGUGGUAUGAGAUGGACCUGCGUCUGAUUAGCUAGUUGGCGGGGUAACGGCCCACCAAGGCGACGAUCAGUAGCCGACCUGAGAGGGUGACCGGCCACAUUGGGACUGAGACACGGCCCAAACUCCUACGGGAGGCAGCAGUGGGGAAUAUUGCACAAUGGGGGAAACCCUGAUGCAGCAACGCCGCGUGAGUGAAGAAGUAUUUCGGUAUGUAAAGCUCUAUCAGCAGGGAAGAAAGUGACGGUACCUGACUAAGAAGCCCCGGCUAACUACGUGCCAGCAGCCGCGGUAAUACGUAGGGGGCAAGCGUUAUCCGGAUUUACUGGGUGUAAAGGGAGCGUAGACGGCACAGCAAGUCUGAAGUGAAAUCCCCGGGCUC